UUUUUUUUUUUUUUUAAUUAUUAAAAACAUGGUUGAGGAGCUCCGGUGUGGCUCAGUCAGUUAAAAGUGUCUGCCUUCAGCUCCGGUUGUGAUCCCAGGGUCCUGGGAUGGAGCCCUGCACCCUACUCAAUGGGGGGCCUGGUUCUCCCUCUCUCUCUGGUCCUCCCCCCUGCCCAUUCUCUCGCUCUCUCUCUCUCAUCAUAAAUAAAUAAAUAAAUAAAUAAAGUAUUAAAAAAAAGAUGGUUGAAGGAAAUGUGGAUAACAAGGAACCUGGCUUUCUAGUCUGUCUCUAAUGACUUUGUAUAAGAUGCUUAAGUCCCCAGGGAGCCAAGCCUGUUACCCAUCUCUGAACCCCAGGUUCAGGCUCACUGAAAAACAAACAAACAAACAAACAAACAAACAAACAAAUACAUAAUUUUUAAAAAGAUAAGAUUGCAUUUUAAAAUAAGGAGUAAGAGGGAUCCCUGGGUGGCGCAGCGGUUUGGCGCCUGCCUUUGGCCUAGGGCGCGAUCCUGGAGACCCGGUAUCGAAUCCCACAUCGGGCUCCCGGUGCAUGGAGCCUGCUUCUCCCUCUGCCUGUGUCUCUGCCUCUCUUUCUCUCUCUGUGUGACUAUCAUAAAAAAAAAAAAAAAAAAAAAUUAAAAUAAGGAAUAAGAAUACUAAUAACAUCUUUGGGUUGAGCAUGAGCAUUUAUGGGAUUCCAAGCCCUCAUUAAUAACAGUUUCUAUUGCUUCCCUCAUUUUAUCCUCAUAAUUUGAGAUGAAGUUACUAAUAUAGAUGAGGCCACUGUGCUAGAUGCGAAACUGAGGCCCAGAGAGGAUAUGUGAUUUUUUUCUCAAAGUCAACAGUUAGUAAAAUGAAGAUCCUGACCCUCCCCACCCCGGUGCUUCUCACCUCCAAGUACUUAUAACCAUCUCCUAGCCCCCUUGAGCCUCAGCUGCAGUUGAAGCAGCAAACAUCCCCCUUACUUUCUUGCUGGUGGAGUAUAUUUCUGGACCAACUCAGACUUCAAUUAUUCAUUUGGCCAUUUCUGUGUAUCAUUCUCUUCUCCCACUUCUAUAAAUAAAGUCUGGCUCGGCAAAAGCCAGAGCUCGUAGUGUCAUAGCCGUAGGACAUGCCAUCUGAUUAUCUUCUGUGGGUGUUUAUAGAUUUCAAGUUAUUCCUGUGUCCCUAAUUCAUCAUCACAGACACUCUGAAUUUAGAAUCUGGUGUCUCUCAGGUCUUCUGUUGCCUAUAGUGACCUUCCAGACGAUACUCUGUCUUCUUUUUCUAGAUAGCUCAUCUCUACUCCACAAAGCUACUAUGAAAAUAAGUGAGAUAAUACAUGUGAAAGUGUCUUAAAAAACUUAACAUCCUUAAUUUCCUUGUCACUAAUUUCACUAAUGUGAACAGGAUUGAACUAGAUACCUUCUAAAGUUCCUGCAGGUCACUGAUUCCAUUAUCUGUGAUUUAUUAACUAGCUAUUGAGUGCAAGGUAUUCUGAUAUCAGACCCCAGGUAUCUUGGUUUAUUCCAGAGGCAGGCUCUAGCAGGCAUUGUAUAACCUGAAGGGAGGCUUGAAUCCACUCAGAGGAAUUCGAAUGAUUCUUUACAUUAACUUAUCCUCAAACUGGUGCUUACAUUGUGGUAUUUGUCAUGAGAUCUUCCCGUUUUCUUCAAAUCAUGUAAAAUACAUACAUAAUUGUAGGUUAACAUUUAACAAGUCAGACCACUGCUCGAAAUUAUAUAUGACAGAAAUUCUAUCUCCUUGCUAAGUCUGACCUUGACCUGUUGCCUCAUUUAUUUUCAAUGUGGCUUAUAAUUGAAUGUUGAACAAGAGCCUUUUCAGCUGAUCUGAUCCCAAACUGAACAUUUUCAAUUCAAGCGCUAAAUCUUGAGCAUGAAAUGACAGCAACUACGUUCAUAAUUUGAGUGAUUGGGGUUUGAAAAAAAAAAAAAAAGUUGAGUGUUUUCUCCUAAUGUCUGCUCUUCUAGUUAGGGUUUCAGUACUUGGUUAUGUGCAUUUGAAAUUGUCCUGUUUUCUCCUUUGAUUCAUAAAAAUAAAACCUUAUCUUCCCAGCACAUAUACUUUGCAUUCAGCCUCACAUCAAGAAAUGUGAAUGUUUCAUAGCAUGUCACUAUAAUCGAAAAAUCCCAAAAUCAAUAAUUAAAAAUAUGUCACUGUAGCAGAAUAUGAGACUCCUUAUAAGCUGUGCCUUGUCUUUCUUAAUAUGGUGAUAGAGCUACCAUAUAUACACAUAUCAGUAUUUUUUCACCAGUUGAUAAUGUUGAUAAAGUUUUAUUGCAUACCAUCAAUUAUUAAAGGUAUUAAAUUAUUACGUUAUUUUUAGUAAUAAUUUUAACUAACUUUAUUUAACCUUUAGUUAACUUUAUAUAACUCUUACUUUAUGAUAGAGAUACAAUGUAGCAAUUAAUGCUUUUUCACUAAUUUAUAAAGAUUGAUCCUUUUCCUCUUUAUAAAGUAUCAUUUACAUGUGUCAUCUUAUUGCUAACUAUAGGUGUCAUUAAAGUAGCAUUUCAAAAAGGUAGAGAAUUCAGAAUAGGAAAUAUAUUAAUCAUAUCCAUGCUUUCUAAAAUCUUAAAAUAUGUGCUUUUACUUCUGUGAAUGUUUUAGGUAGUACCUUGCCCUAUUUUCAACAUGAUUUUUACAUGUAGAGAAUUCUAGUAACAUUCCCUCUUUGGCUUACAUAUAGAUUUUAAAUGUCACAAUUUCUUUUUCAUUCUACAAAUAUUUGUUAAAUACCAUCUAUGCUUCGAAUGCUGUUGUAUUUAAUGGGAAUAUAACCAGGACCGUUGCAGUCAAAGUGCUUGUCUUCACUCAAAGAACUGUUAAUAUCUACUAUUUUGCCUACCAGCAAAUUUACAGUAUCCUUAAUUCUUCCAAAUGGCAUCAUUACCUUAUUUUCAUGUGGAGAAACCAAAAUGGAGAAAAGGUAAUUGCUUGACAAGAUCACACAUCAAGUAAUGGGGAGAAUCAUGCUUCAGACCCAGGCCAACCCAAGUACAAAGAUCAACUCUUUCCAUAUCCAGUACUGUUGCCUUUCCAGUUUUAAUAUAUCGAUAGUUUUGGGUAUUAGUGGAUUCAAUUACCGUCUACUUCUCUAAUUUCUAGAAUCCAGAUAUCUUAGUCACAGUUGCUGUUCUACAUCCAUUUGAAGAUAAACAAACUGUGGGAGUGGGAGAUUGCAGUAAGAACAGACUUCAGAGUUGCCAUCAUUCAGAUUCUGAUUUUGCUCUUUAAUUUGUUCCGUGAAGCUGGAAUCUCUCGAAUCCACGCGACGACUGUACCUUGAGUUCAGUCCUAUGAUGCUGAGCAAGUCCUGUAACUUUCCAGCAGUUCUGUUUUGCCCCCUGAGAAGCUGUGCUCAUAACAGAUGACAUCUGGACACCAUCCAUGAAGUUGAGCAUAUUCACAUCUGCAGAGCAGACCACACUUUGGGGGAAGACAGUUGCGGCACUCGAUAAAAUUAAUCGUAACAAUGAAUUUUAAAAUUAUUUACUACUAAGAUGGUCACAAAAAAUAUUUGAACAGUAAUUGCCCAAAACAUUGUUUUUGGGCACCUGGGUGGUUGAGUCCGUUAAACAUCGGCCUUCAACUUCAGGUCAUGAUCUCAGGAGCCUGGGAUCAAGCCCCACAUGGGUUCCUUGCUCAGUGGGGAGCCUGCUUCCUCCCUCCUCCCACCCCCUGCUAGUGCUCUCUCUCACUCUCUUCUCUAAAUAAAUAAA
RNAcentral lists this long non-coding RNA (3725 nucleotides) under Canis lupus familiaris (dog). RNAcentral's name for it is "lncRNA (ENSCAFG00845023807.1)". The record is from RNAcentral. Lineage: Eukaryota; Metazoa; Chordata; Mammalia; Carnivora; Canidae.